This 253-nucleotide ribosomal RNA is filed under the name uncultured bacterium. RNAcentral describes it as "partial 16S ribosomal RNA". It matches the Rfam family "Bacterial small subunit ribosomal RNA", at positions 79 to 334 of the family's 1533-position model. The record is from RNAcentral.
CUUUCUUUGCUGGCGACCGGCGCACGGGUGAGUAACACGUAUCCAACCUGCCCUUUACUCGGGGAUAGCCUUUCGAAAGAAAGAUUAAUACCCGAUAGUAUAAUGAUUCCGCAUGGUUUCAUUAUUAAAGGAUUCCGGUAAAGGAUGGGGAUGCGUUCCAUUAGGUUGUUGGUGAGGUAACGGCUCACCAAGCCUUCGAUGGAUAGGGGUUCUGAGAGGAAGGUCCCCCACAUUGGAACUGAGCACGGUCCAA